Molecule: ribosomal RNA, 484 nt
Filed under: uncultured Bacillota bacterium
Lineage: Bacteria; Bacillati; Bacillota
Description: bacterial SSU rRNA
Rfam family: Bacterial small subunit ribosomal RNA
Source: RNAcentral
GGCAGCAGUGGGGAAUCUUCGGCAAUGGGCGAAAGCCUGACCGAGCAACGCCGCGUGAAUGAUGAAGGCCUUCGGGUUGUAAAAUUCUGUUAUAAGGGAAGAACGACUUUAGUAGGAAAUGGCUAGAGUGUGACGGUACCUUAUGAGAAAGCCACGGCUAACUACGUGCCAGCAGCCGCGGUAAUACGUAGGUGGCGAGCGUUAUCCGGAAUUAUUGGGCGUAAAGAGCGCGCAGGUGGUUGAUUAAGUCUGAUGUGAAAGCCCACGGCUUAACCGUGGAGGGUCAUUGGAAACUGGUCGACUUGAGUGCAGAAGAGGGAAGUGGAAUUCCAUGUGUAGCGGUGAAAUGCGCAGAGAUAUGGAGGAACACCAGUGGCGAAGGCGGCUUCCUGGUCUGUAACUGACACUGAGGCGCGAAAGCGUGGGGAGCAAACAGGAUUAGAUACCCUGGUAGUCCACGCCGUAAACGAUGAGUGCUAAGUGU